RNAcentral lists this long non-coding RNA (1289 nucleotides) under Anas platyrhynchos platyrhynchos (common mallard). Its description in RNAcentral is "lncRNA (ENSAPLG00000026461.1)". Lineage: Eukaryota; Metazoa; Chordata; Aves; Anseriformes; Anatidae. The record is from RNAcentral.
AGCAAGCAAUUACCCUUCCCCCAGCUUUGAAGCUAUUGUUCCUUGCAUGCUCCUGUCUUUGGUUCACAGAAGAUUUGACUGUAUCUGUUAUUAGUCUUAGGUCUCCCGAGUUUUGCUGUAAGUUUUUGUAUUCUUCAUGUUUCAGAUCACACAGGCCAAGCUUGAAUUACCCUGGCCUCAGUUUCUAAUAAAAUAUCUUUUUCCCCAAGGUGCUAGCAAGAGAGUCAUAUCUGGGGUGGAAUCAUGUGAAAUGCGUUCAUUUUUUGCAUGUCCUUCACCUUAGAUCAGAGAGUACUGACUCAUGAUUAAGUUUUCUUCUGUUUCUGUUGGAAGCCCCGCGUUGUCCUCUAGCCUCCCUUGAGAAGGUUAAAUUCAGCCCUGACAUUUGAUUACUGAAACGUGGCCCCACUUUCUCUGGAAGUUUUGUAGGCAUGACCCAACUUUUCAUUCUUUAACAAGCCUCCAACCCAGAACCGCCUGCUUUUAGGUUGCAAACCCUGCCUCCUCACGGGUUUGAGCAGUGCAUGCAGUGUGCUGAGUGUGGGACUGAUGGACACCCUCCUGCUUCCUUCUCUGGGCCUCUGACUAGACAGCAGACAUCUCCAUUUAAAUACGCAAUGCAUUUGUCUGAAGUGCACGGGGAAAAUAUCUUCUGUUACGGACAAGAUCAUUGCUUGAUGCAAACUAGAACAGGAUUAUGGAAUUUCAUUGGAGCUAUGGCAAUUGACACUCCUGUGGGGCUGAAUGCGAAUGUUAAUCAAUCUAUUUUAAUUCUGUUUUCUGUUGUAUUUAACCUUUGGGUAGGCUUGUUAGGGUAGACAUUGUAUACAUCUUUUUCUCGGCUAUUCAUUUAAACAGCCUUCCACAGUCUGUGUGCAUUUUGCUUUGGGCAAAGAAAAUGUGCACUUAACAUUUCUGUUCUGAACCAUAUUUUAAAUGAACCCUUUUGUAGUUAUGAAAUAUGUAAUUAAAGCUGUAACCCAGUAGAGCACUUAAAUGAAUGCUUAAGAGUCUGUAUAGUUUCAUGGACUUUCUGGGUAAAUUGAGUAAGAAUAUAUUGCUUCUGACCUAGCCUACACAUUAUUUUCAGUCAGCUGGUACCAUGGCACGACGGUUCUCUGGCAAGUGCAUAUUUUAUCCAGCUGUGGGAAAAUCUUAUAUUUUGUUUGAGACUGUGGAGAAGUCUCAUCAAAGAGAGUAAGAGUCAAAAUGAAAUGAUGAAGAGGCCAAAUUUGGUACAGGAUGUUCCUGAGGCUUUUGAUGUUGGUAUUAUUAAUCAUAAAUUUGAU